This 960-nucleotide non-coding RNA is filed under the name Tatera indica. RNAcentral's name for it is "12S ribosomal RNA". It matches the Rfam family "Bacterial small subunit ribosomal RNA". Lineage: Eukaryota; Metazoa; Chordata; Mammalia; Rodentia; Muridae. The record is from RNAcentral.
UAAAGGUUUGGUCCUAGCCUUAUAGUUAAUUGAAAGUAAACUUACACAUGCAAAUCUCCAUGUACCUGUGCCUAAUUCCCUUAGACUUUAUACAAAUCUGAGGAAAAGGUAUCAAGCUCAUAACCCAUAGCUCUCGACACCUAGCUAAGCCACACCCCCACGGGAUCUCAGCAGUGAUAAAAUUUUAGCAAUAAACGAAAGUUUGACUAAGUUAUACUUUAAAGAGUUGGUAAAUUUCGUGCCAGCCACCGCGGUCAUACGAUUAACUCAAAUUAACUAACCAACGGCGUAAAAUGUGUUAUUUAUAUUUCCUGAAUAGAAUUGAAACCCAACUAAUGCGUAGAAGUUCAUCGUUCGGACCUAAGACCACCAACGAAGGUAAUUCUAGUAUAUUAAUACACGAUAGCUAAGAUCCAAACUGGGAUUAGAUACCCCACUAUGCUUAGCCCUAAACUUAAGUAAUUCCUAUAACAAAAUUAUUUGCCAGGGGACUACGAGCCACAGCUUAAAACUCAAAGGACUUGGCGGCGCUUUAUAUCCGUCUAGAGGAGCCUGUUCUAUAAUCGAUAAACCCCGUUCCACCUUACCAACUCUUGCCUAAUCAGCUUAUAUACCGCCAUCUUCAGUAAACCCUAAAAAGGACGGUAAAGUGAGCAAAAUAAUCAAACAUGAAGACGUUAGGUCAAGGUGUAGCCUAUGAGUUGGAAAGCAAUGGGCUACAUUUUCUUAAAAAGAACAUUACGAUAUCCUUUAUGAAAUCUAAAGGACUAAGGAGGAUUUAGUAGUAAAUUAAGAAUAGAGUGCUUAAUUGAAUGGAAGCUCUGGAGCGCGCACACACCGCCCGUCACCCUCUUCAAAUAACAAGCUAAACCUAUAAAUACAUAAUUUCUCAAAAGCAUAUUUAUGAGAAGAGGUAAGUCGUAACAAGGUAAGCAUACUGGAAAGUGUGCUUGGACUAAC